This 790-nucleotide long non-coding RNA is filed under the name Marmota monax (woodchuck). Lineage: Eukaryota; Metazoa; Chordata; Mammalia; Rodentia; Sciuridae. The record is from RNAcentral.
GCAUUUCUUUUGAUCUCUGUCCCCAUACCUGCAGAAUGCUGUGUCGCCUGAGCAGGUAGAUGUCCAGAAACCUCCCACGGCCAGCCAAGCUGCACCACCUGAAGCUGUUUCUGCUCCGAGGGGAGAAGAUUUGGAGCUUUUCCCCCUCUGAAGCCUGUCACCCUCUCUGGAAAGAGCACCUCCUACAGUGAAAGUCAUCUGGCCACCACAGAAUGCCCCACAUCUGCUCUUCACGGAAACACUGUCCACUCCACUGCUCCCUGUUGUUGCAGUCAAGGUCCCUAAAUCUGUGGACAUCAGCCAGUCAGCCAUGAUCCUGCACAAACACCACCCAAUGUGUUCUUUCUUUUGUUUCCACCUCUUCCCCCCAAAUAAGGACUUUUGUACAACCCGUCAGAGUUUUCUUUCCUCUGCAUUUGCCUGCUCCAUACUCAUUUCCUAUUUGUGACUGUAGCUUCCCAACCUUGCCUGUGGCAGCUGAAGUGGGGUAGCCAGGGAGGCCCCUCUGCUCUCCCAGGGCCUCCACACUGUGGGCAGAACCCAGAUGGAGCUGCCCUUUGCCUAUCGUGGUUCCUACUGCCCUGCACCUGACCCUGGAAGGACACACCAUCCUAGGAAGACAGCAUGUGAAACAAACCUCACCACCUCACCACACUAGUUUCCCAGGAAGUACAGCAGGCCCAGGAGAUGACAGGCCACAGCCUCUCCUCCUGCCACCCAUGGGGAGGCACCCAAGCCUGUGUCACCUGUGUGACCCAGUAACCUGUAUAUUUCUUGCCAUUUCUGUGGG